Long non-coding RNA from Saccostrea cuccullata (small rock oyster), 736 nucleotides. RefSeq lists it as uncharacterized. NCBI's taxonomy places the organism in Eukaryota, Metazoa, Mollusca, Bivalvia, Ostreida, Ostreidae. The transcript has 3 exons. The record is from RefSeq and is a predicted model, not a curated record.
AGCCUUUUUUAAAUUCUGGGUAGAAUCCACCCUUAUGAAAAAAAUGACACAAAUGUGACUUUAUAUCAUUUUAUUGACAAUAAAAAACAAAAUCAUGCAAUUUAUAAAUGUUUUAUUCAUUACAGUCACAACUGUAUCCAGGUCACAUCAAAGGAAUGACAGUUUCUCACUCCCUGGAAUUCCACUUAAUGGAGGGAGGUGUCAUUAAUUAAGACUGUCACAGCUUCCAAGACACUGAAGUGACAGGCCUAAAAUUUUAUACAUAUUCAUUGCACUGUAGAGGACUUUCAUCUUUCAGCUUCCUCGGCCCCGGGAGAGUUGGGUACCUGCUCAGCGGGGGCAUUUUCUCUAUACAAGAAGAAGAUGGAGACUCGCUACCCACCCGAUAUAUUUUGUCGGACAGUUUUCUGUACAUAGCAGUCACAACUGUAUCCAGGUCACAUCAAAGGAAUGACAGUUUCUCACUCCCUGGAAUUCCACUUAAUGGAGGGAGGUGUCAUUAAUUAAGACUGUCACAGCUUCCAAGACACUGAAGUGACAGGCCUAAAAUUUUAUACAUAUUCAUUGGUAAGUAUAAAGUCUUUGAAAAUUACAAAAUUGACUAAUUCUGGGAGAGGUAAAUAUGUAAGUAUAGGAAUGAGAGUACCAAAUCCCCGGAUGAGCACAUGGCAUUGUUUGUGGCACAAUGUAGAGUUGAGUACUGAAUAGGUCGGCAUUACCUGAUUGGCUGAAAUGA